RNAcentral lists this ribosomal RNA (253 nucleotides) under uncultured bacterium. RNAcentral's name for it is "partial 16S ribosomal RNA". It matches the Rfam family "Bacterial small subunit ribosomal RNA", at positions 524 to 776 of the family's 1533-position model. The record is from RNAcentral.
UACGUAGGGAGCAAGCGUUGUCCGGAAUCAUUGGGCGUAAAGAGCGCGUAGGUGGCUUUAUAAGUCCGUUGUGAAAGUCAAAGGCUCAACCUUUGAAAGCCGAUGGAUACUGUGAAGCUAGAGUACGGAAGAGGCGAGUGGAAUUCCUGGUGUAGCGGUGGAAUGCGCAGAUAUCAGGAGGAACACCAAUAGCGAAGGCAGCUCUCUGGGACGGUACUGACGCUGAGACGCGAAAGCGUGGGGAGCGAACAGG